GCGACUGUCGCAGGACGCCUCCGCCGCGCACUUUACGGCACACACGUGCUUUCUGCGCUCUUAUGUGCCCUUCACUGCUCCACAUCGCAUCCAGAGACGAUCUUUGAUUAAAUCUGAAUGAAAUGAUGUCCAAACUGAGUAAUGAGAGUGAAAUGAUGUCCAAACUGAGUAAAGAGAGCAAGCAGCGGCUGCAGCAGGUGUUCCAGUGCGGCCAGUUCAUCAUCCGCUGGGGUUUCAUCCCCACCGUGUUGUACCUGGGAUUCAAGCGUGGCGUCGAUCCAGGGAUGCCUGAACCCUCGGUGUUCAGUUUGCUUUGGGGAUGAAGUCGCUCCUGACAGAAACUCCAGACCUAUUCACAAACCUCAUGAAGACAUCCAUCGUCUCACGAGACGCUGUGCUCGGAUGUAAAUACUCCAGUAACGUUUGUGUUAUUUCAAGACUUCUGCUUCCUCUUUCUAAAACACUGCAAUUGAGAAACGCACAAAAUGUAACCGAGCUUUCUUUGUUUUUUUUGUUGUUUUUUUAUUAUUAUUGACUCAAAUUAGAUGCAUGGUCUCAGUUUUUCAAUUUCAAAUAAACUAAACCAGUUCAUCAGCA
Molecule: long non-coding RNA, 597 nt
Organism: Carassius gibelio (silver crucian carp)
Lineage: Eukaryota; Metazoa; Chordata; Actinopteri; Cypriniformes; Cyprinidae
Exons: 3
Source: RefSeq, a predicted model, not a curated record